GCACCCGCGGUAAUUCCAGCUCCAAUAGCGUAUAUUAAAGUUGUUGCAGUUAAAAAGCUCGUAGUUGGAUUUCUGGGAGAGUGGCGAUGUCCGCUUAACGUGUGUGCAGCGGCGCUCUUCCAUCCUUCUGUUAGCGUCUCUUGGCAUUCAUUUGCUGGUGGCGGGCUCAGAUAUUUUACCUUGAGAAAAUUAGAGUGUUUCAGGCAGGCUAGGCCGGAAUACAUUAGCAUGGAAUAAUGGAAUAGGACUACGGUCUCUUUGUUGGUUUGAGGGACUGCAGUAAUGAUUAAUAGGGAUAGUUGGGGGCAUUAGUAUUUAAUUGUCAGAGGUGGAAUUCUCAGAUUUGUUAAAGACUAACCUAUGCGAAAGCAUUUGCCAAGGAUGUUUUCAUUGAUCAAGAACGAAAGU
RNAcentral lists this ribosomal RNA (408 nucleotides) under uncultured eukaryote. Its description in RNAcentral is "SSU rRNA". It matches the Rfam family "Eukaryotic small subunit ribosomal RNA", at positions 570 to 990 of the family's 1831-position model. The record is from RNAcentral.